AAUCCUGGCUCAGGAUGAACGCUAGCUACAGGCUUAACACAUGCAAGUCGAGGGGCAGCAUUCUUCUAGCAAUAGAAGAGAUGGCGACCGGCGCACGGGUGAGUAACACGUAUCCAACCUACCGAUAACUCCGGAAUAGCCUUUCGAAAGAAAGAUUAAUACCGGAUAGUAUACGAAUAUCGCAUGAUAUUUUUAUUAAAGAAUUUCGGUUAUCGAUGGGGAUGCGUUCCAUUAGUUUGUUGGCGGGUAACGG
RNAcentral lists this ribosomal RNA (253 nucleotides) under uncultured bacterium. RNAcentral describes it as "partial 16S ribosomal RNA". It matches the Rfam family "Bacterial small subunit ribosomal RNA", at positions 15 to 263 of the family's 1533-position model. The record is from RNAcentral.